Molecule: ribosomal RNA, 303 nt
Filed under: uncultured eukaryote
Lineage: Eukaryota
Description: partial Bacterial large subunit ribosomal RNA
Rfam family: Bacterial large subunit ribosomal RNA
Source: RNAcentral
CAAAAGCGAUUCUCUUAGUAGCGGCGAGCGAAAUGGGAACAGUCUAAACUAAACAUACUGUUUAGGGUUGCGGGAUAGACUAAAAAAAUUCUUCUAUUGUUAGAUAAAACGCUUGGAAUAGCGUGCCAUAGAAAGUGAUAGCCUUGUGAUUGAAAACAAGAUAAAGAAUUUGUCUUUUUCCCAAGUAGGAGGGGAUAAGUGAAACCCCCUUUGAAUCUACGAGGACCACCUCGUAAGACUAAAUAUUACUGAAUGAUCGAUAGUGCACCAGUACCGUGAGGGAAAGGUGAAAAGAACCCCGGG